Molecule: long non-coding RNA, 1557 nt
Filed under: Homo sapiens (human)
Lineage: Eukaryota; Metazoa; Chordata; Mammalia; Primates; Hominidae
Description: HSALNT0403986
Source: RNAcentral
AGUCCAGCAUCAGCACUAGAAGGGCAGCAGUUUAGAAAGCCCAGUCCCAAGGCGCAGCGUGCGUCAGCAAGACAGCAGAAGCAGGAGGAGAGCUGGCGGGAAGACAUGCACCCCUUGAAGACCCAGAGAGAGGCCGUCUGUCUACCGCGUAGCAGUUACAUCAGACUGAGACACUUCCUGUUUACAGGAGACUAUAAAAUUCCUGCCCCGUGCUCAUUUGGGGCUGACGCCAUUUUAGGCCUCAGCCCAUCUGCACCCAGGCGCUCACUGAAACAGUGUGUUGCUCCACACCGCCUUGUUUUGCUUGUUGGCGCGCUCUCAGGGUUCCGACCAAUCCAAGAGCCUUGCAGAAAGCAUUAACGUGCUUUUCUCUUUGGCAGAGUUUUUCUUUGCUCUGAUCUUGGAGACAUCCCUCUGCCUAGUGGAAACAUAAGGAAUACAGAAAGAAUGCAAGGAGAUAGACCAACGUGAGAUUCUCCUUCAUGCACUCAAGAGAAAGAUGUUGCAGGAAGAGCUAGUCUUUCAGGCUGGGCUGGUGACCUGAGAAAGAAUGUCCAGCUUUUCUUCUCCACUUGGCAUAUCAAGAGCCAGGCGUGGAAGACUAAAACAGGAAAUGUUUAUAAAAACUGUUCAGCGGUUCGCCAACAAGAAGUGGUAAAGUAGCAAAAAUGGGGAUGGAGAUGCCAGGAGGAAAGAUGCCAGGGGUAAAGUGGGAAAAUGGGAACCUGAAGCCAGGAGGUCAAGCCAAGCCAACAGGUGUUCUGUUUUUCAAUGAGGAGGUGGGGCACAGGAUGGAUGGAAACUUUCCACAGUCACAGAACUAAUAAGUGGUGCUGAGGACUCAAACCCGGGGAAGCCCACUCUAGAACCCAUGCUGGUCAUCCAUAUCCCCAAGGCCCUGGUCAGAACACAGCUAAGCAGAUGGCUUGGGUCAUCAGGACGUCCAUUACAUCCAAAGGAAGACAGCCUGUGACGUUUCAAAAGCAAAAGUCCCCUACCAGCCAGUGAAGCUACCUGAUUUCUCAGUAUCUUACGCCCAGUGACACGAUCUACCCUCAAAACUUAAAAAAAAAAGGGAAACAUAAACACAUAACAGCAGCAGCAAUAAUUAAAGAUGAGAUGAGAACAAUUAAGAAAAAAGGAAAGGUCUCCUGUGACUGUUUUAUUUUUAGGGAAACAGAGAGGAAGAAGAAUGAUUUUUCUUUUGAUGACUCUAUAUCCAACUCUGAGGUUUGAUUAAAGAAAUGACCUUGAACCACAGCAAAGAAAAAUAAAAGACAAUUUCCAGUAAGUAUGCCAGUUCGAAUUAAUGAUUUACUUUUUAUUUUUAAACUGAAUUCAGCAGAGAUUUACAUGCAUUACGAUGAUUAACAUCUGAAAUUUGACCUUGAAAUAAUCUUUACAUUGUAAAUUCUUAAUGAUCAAAACAAGGUUCUCAGUGAUUAAAACAUAUUAGUAAUUAAUUAUUAAAGGAGAAUAAUUGCAAAUACAACAUUCCUAAAAUCUCAAGGCUUUUAAAGCAUUUGUACAAAUGACUGGACAUUUUUUAAAUUUGAA